This 250-nucleotide small RNA is filed under the name Klebsiella oxytoca KA-2. Lineage: Bacteria; Pseudomonadati; Pseudomonadota; Gammaproteobacteria; Enterobacterales; Enterobacteriaceae. The record is from RNAcentral.
GGGUUUUUAGAAGGGAAUCUGCGAUUGCUGAAAAAAAGAUAAAAAAAGACCGAACACGAUUCCUGUAUUCGGUCCAGGGAAAUGGCUCUUGGGAGAGAGCCGUGCGCUAAAAGUUGGCAUUAAUGCAGGCUAAGUCGCCUUGCCUUAUAAGAAUAGUUUACCGUGUCAGGUUUUCCAGUCCGUGACAAAAGGGAACCAAUAAUUCCUCUCAGGAUUGCGUAUGCCUACAAAAAACCGCCGCUCCCGGAAU